GAUCAUUAUUGAAAUAAACUUGAUGGGUUGCUGCUGGUUCUCUAGGGAGCAUGUGCACGCUUGUCGUCUUUAUAUCUCCACCUGUGCACCUUUUGUAGACCUGGAUGUCUCUCUGAGUGCUAGUCACUCAGGUUUGAGGAUUGACUUCAUGUCUCUCCUUACAUUUUCAGGCCUAUGUUUCUUCAUAUACCCCAAUGUAUGUCAUAGAAUGUAAUCAAUGGGCCUUUGUGCCUAUAAAUCUAUACAACUUUCAGCAACGGAUCUCUUGGCUCUCGCAUCGAUGAAGAACGCAGCGAAAUGCGAUAAGUAAUGUGAAUUGCAGAAUUCAGUGAAUCAUCGAAUCUUUGAACGCACCUUGCGCUCCUUGGUAUUCCGAGGAGCAUGCCUGUUUGAGUGUCAUUAAUAUAUCAACCUCUUCAGCUUUUGCUUGUUGAGUGUUGGAUGUGGGGGGGUUCAUUUGCUGGCCUUUAGCAAGGUCAGCUCCCCUGAAAUGCAUUAGCGGAACAAUUUGCAGACCGUUCAUUGGUGUGAUAACUAUCUACGCUAUUGACGUGAAGCAGUUCAGCUUCUAACUGUCUAUUGACUUGGACAACUUUUCAUUAAUGUGACCUCAAAUCAUGUAGG
RNAcentral lists this ribosomal RNA (624 nucleotides) under uncultured Cortinarius. RNAcentral describes it as "eukaryotic LSU rRNA". The stretch from base 246 to 399 matches the Rfam family "5.8S ribosomal RNA". The record is from RNAcentral. Lineage: Eukaryota; Fungi; Basidiomycota; Agaricomycetes; Agaricales; Cortinariaceae.